RNAcentral lists this long non-coding RNA (460 nucleotides) under Ananas comosus (pineapple). Its description in RNAcentral is "long non-coding RNA (ACOM_LNC027162)". Lineage: Eukaryota; Viridiplantae; Streptophyta; Magnoliopsida; Poales; Bromeliaceae. The record is from RNAcentral.
AAGAUAGUGAAAAAAGUUAUGAUUGAAUUUGAUAUAAAAUACCAUUUAAUACAAAUAAUUUGUUAUAAAAAUAAUUUACUAUAAAAAUAUUUUUUCAAAUUUAAUAAAAAAUAAUUUAUCAUAAUAUUUAAAUAUAAUUUAUUGUAAUAAUUUAUUAUGAUAUUCGAGUAUAAAUAAUAUACAUUAACAAUUUUAUAAUAAAAAUAAUUUAUUGUUAUAUAAUAUAUUGUAUCUACUUAAUUUAGUUUUAACUCAAUUAAUAAUCUUAAUAAAACUUGGAAUUGAACUUUAGAAUAAUACUAUUCCAUCAAAAUGGUAGAAUAGUUUAUCCCAAGAUAUUCCGGGAUAAUAAUGAAUAGCAAGGUUUGACUGGAAUAAAAAUAUUCUGAUAAAAAAAAUCUCAUUUGGCAGAAUAGCGGGAAUAACAUUCGUUAUCCUGACUUUAUCUCCGAACUAAACU